CAGUCUUCCAAAAAAAAAUCAAUAUUUAAGUCAAAUUUGUGGCAAAUUUUGAGUGGUGUUAAGUUGGCAGGCUGAUGAUCAUUCCACUUUGCUGGAAACAGAAUUCAAAAUUAGCCUUGUUCCUCGAGAAAGUUGAUAGCAAUAGUGUCCCUUUAUUUUGUAGUGAGUUCCCUCCUCUUUAACCUUCCACUUUUUGACUUUACUCAUAAUUAUAUUUAUACUUUGUCCACCACUGACUGAAUUUAACACACACAUCCUUCUUCUUCUUCCCUGACUUCCCUUCAAUUUUCUGUCUCAUGCCAGGGCCCUUUCUACAUCAGGAGCAUUUGAGAAAGAGAAACCAAGGUAGACAAGGAUGAGUGCACACUAACAACAAAACACAUUCCAUUCAAAUCAUAUUUAUGUUUGUUACAUCAUAAAUCAGGUAAGGAACAGAAAGAAAGAAAAAAUGCUGAUUCUAUACCUCUGCACACCAAAAAUAAAAAAAAAAGUAUAUAGGAAACCAUUCCAACUGGUUAUCCUCUACCUGUUUUCAUCAGUUUUUUUUUUAUCAGUUUUUUGUUUUUUUGCUUCCCUCAGUCACUUUUUGUUGGAGGGGAGUAAGGAAUGCGGCCAAAGCAUGCUUACUCUUUGAAUAGAAUGUCUACAAAUUGUAUCUAGACGUUAUAUACAUGUGGGAAAUCAAGCUACAAAAACUGGGACACCAAAAUCACAUAUUGCAAGAAACUGGAAAGGUGAAAAAAAAAUGACACACCAAA
This is a long non-coding RNA of Cucumis melo (muskmelon), 758 nucleotides long. RefSeq lists it as uncharacterized. Lineage: Eukaryota; Viridiplantae; Streptophyta; Magnoliopsida; Cucurbitales; Cucurbitaceae. The transcript is spliced from 2 exons. The record is from RefSeq and is a predicted model, not a curated record.